GAUGAACGCUGGCGGCGUGCCUAAUACAUGCAAGUCGAGCGAACAGACGAGGAGCUUGCUCCUCUGACGUUAGCGGCGGACGGGUGAGUAACACGUGGAUAACCUACCUAUAAGACUGGGAUAACUUCGGGAAACCGGAGCUAAUACCGGAUAAUAUAUUGAACCGCAUGGUUCAAUAGUGAAAGACGGUUUUGCUGUCACUUAUAGAUGGAUCCGCGCCGCAUUAGCUAGUUGGUAAGGUAACGGCUUACCAAGGCAACGAUGCGUAGCCGACCUGAGAGGGCGAUCGGCCACACAGGAACUGAGACACGGUCCAGACUCCUACGGGAGGCAGCAGUAGGUAAUCUUCCGCAAUGGGCGAAAGCUUGACGGAGCAACGCCGCGUGAGUGAUGAAGGUCUUCGGAUCGUAAAACUCUGUUAUUAGGGAAGAACAAAUGUGUAAGUAACUAUGCACGUCUUGACGGUACCUAAUCAGAAAGCCACGGCUAACUACGU
Molecule: ribosomal RNA, 496 nt
Filed under: uncultured bacterium
Lineage: Bacteria
Description: partial 16S ribosomal RNA
Rfam family: Bacterial small subunit ribosomal RNA
Source: RNAcentral